This 1745-nucleotide long non-coding RNA is filed under the name Triticum aestivum (bread wheat). RNAcentral's name for it is "long non-coding RNA (TAES_LNC019781)". Lineage: Eukaryota; Viridiplantae; Streptophyta; Magnoliopsida; Poales; Poaceae. The record is from RNAcentral.
CUCUGUUUUGCUGGUGAGCACGCGCACGCAGCAAAACACCUGAGCCAAUCCGCAAGCGACACGUGGUAAACCGGUACAGUGAAUGCUACAGCGAUCGCUACAGUAUUUUUACAGAACAGAAUUUUCUUUUUGUUUUUCACAGAUUUUCAUCCAAAAUUCUUUUAGCUAUAUCUUUUGUUCUAUAAGUCCAAUUUAGGUAAUUCUUUUUUCCUUUGAUCUCACAGAAAUCAGCCCUUCAUGACAGUACCAAAAAUUCUCAUGUUUGCACUAUUUAAAUUUGAAUUCGUUCAAAUUCAAAUUAAACCUUCCGGAGGCCGUAACUUUCAAACCAUUUAUCGGAAUCGAGUGAUUCUUUUUGCGUUAUAACCGUAGUGCAAUUUAGGUGUUGUUAUGCUGCUAUUGUCAUGUUUCAAAAAUGGUUUUCUUGUUGUUGGUUUUGUUUUGGUUCUAUUCGUGUUCCGGUGAUUGAUUUGUUGAAUUGUGUGAAACGUGUAGAUUGUCCGGAGUGCGAUGCAAGCUAUUGUCAGGAGUGUGACUUUCUAAACUAGAGCCAAGGCAAGUUACAUGUUGAUCAUCCUUUACCUAUUGUUUUCUAUGCAUGUAGUUAUAUCACACUAUGAAUAUAUGCAUGUAUAGGAUUAAUAUAUAAUUUUGCUAUGCUAUUGAGAUAUCUUCCUGUGUUUUGCAAAUCGUGGUAGUUGUAGUUUGCUAUGCUUUGUAGACGGGGGUGGUUCGUGUAUUCAUUGAGUUUAUGUGAGGAUUAUAUAUAUAACUAAAUUGAGUAGUAAUUAAGGAUUUAACUCACCUCUGGGCAGAAAGUGGUAUUGCUUGGUGUUGAGGGAAGGCAUCAUGGGGUCUUGCACCUUUUCUAAGGCCAUGCGCUCAUGAGAGUGCAACCUAAGUGGAAUGCCGCUCAGGCUCGAAAGGAUCAGACAGACUUAGUGACUAGUAGCUUCCAUGUGCGGGAACUGGCUAUAUGGGUUCUGGCUUAGUUGAUCAGUUGUUGGGACCCUGGCCCAAACAGUGUCGACAGAUGUAGCAUAUGUAGGUGGGAUGUGGCCGUCAGGUGCUUAAGGGAACCUCUUCUGAAAGACUUUGUCUCAAUCUUCGGAUUGGGUCCAGUGGGUAAAGCGUACAAAACUCUGCAGAGUAUUAAAACUAAUCAUGAUUAGUCGUGCCCCCGGUUAGGGGUAAAUUUGAGCCACUAUGCCGUUAUAGUUGUUGGAUGAUCUUGACAGGUGUGACACUUAAUAAAUUUGUUGGGCAACUUAAUAAAGGGUAGGUUGGAGUUGAUUUUGCCAACUCAACCUUGUGUAUAUAAUUGUAGUAAUAAAAGAACUAAAUAAAAAUUUGACUAUUUGGUAGUUAUUAGGACAAAAUCAGCUUUCCGCAAAAAUAAACCCUCAAGCCUUCCUUUGUUGUACUAUGCAUAUACAUGUAGGUCUGCUAUAUUAUUACUCCUGUGUAACUUGCCAAUACAUUCAAAGUACUAACCUAUGUAGCUGCAACGUCUCAUGUUGCAGGAUAUUCAGACGAAGAGUAAGGUACCAUUAGGGACACGAGUCUGCACUCAGCAUCGCCAGUGGGCUAUGAUGGGACUCAUCGUUAUUUUCUGCUACUUUCCGCUGUUUGAUUGAAUAAAGCUAGCCAUGUGCUAUGCAGAUUGUUUUAUUUUAUACAUUCUGGAUCAUACGUUGUAAUAAAUGAUGCACUUGCUAUUCUGGUAUUCAUCUAUAUUGUGUGUG